AUACGGAGGAUCCGAGCGUUAUCCGGAUUUAUUGGGUUUAAAGGGUGCGCAGGCGGCCAUUUAAGUCAGCGGUUAAAUCGUGGGGCUCAACCCCAUUCUGCCGUUGAUACUGGGUGGCUUGAUUGCGGUCGAGGUUGGCGGAAUUCGUUGUGUAGCGGUGAAAUGCAUAGAUAGGACGAAGAACACCGAUCGCGUAGGCAGCUGACCAGACCGCAAAUGACGCUCAUGCACGAAAGUGCGGGGAUCGAACAGGAUUAGAUACCCUGGUAGUCCGCACAGUAAACGAUAAAUACUUGUUGUCGGCGAUAUAAUGUCGGAGGCAAAGCGAAAGCGAUAAGUAUUCCACCUGGGGAGUACGCCGGCAACGGUGAAACUCAAAUGAAUUGACGGGG
RNAcentral lists this ribosomal RNA (392 nucleotides) under uncultured bacterium. Its description in RNAcentral is "partial 16S ribosomal RNA". It matches the Rfam family "Bacterial small subunit ribosomal RNA", at positions 523 to 918 of the family's 1533-position model. The record is from RNAcentral.